GCACGUAGUUAGCCGGGACUUCUUCUGCAGGUACCGUCAGUUUCCCUUCGUCCCUGCCGAAAGGGGUUUACAACCCGAAGGCCUUCAUCCCCACGCGGCGUCGCUGCGUCACGCUUUCGCGCAUUAGCGCAAGAUCCCCCACUGCUGCCUCCCGUAGGAGUCUGGGCCGUGUCUCAGUCCCAGUGUGGCUGGCCGUCCUCUCAGACCAGCUACCCGUCGUCGCCUUGGUGGGCCGUUACCCCACCAACAAGCUGAUAGGCCGCGGGCCCAUCCCGGACCGUCGGAGCUUUCCCGGCGCGACCAUGCGAUCGCGCCGGAGUAUCCGGUAUUAGCUCAGGUUUCCCUGGGUUAUCCCGGUGUCCGGGGCAGGUUGCCCACGUGUUACUCACCCGUUCGCCGCUCUCCCCUCGGAAGGGUUACCCCUCCUGAGGUUCCCGCUCGACUUGCAUGUGUUAGGCACGCCGCCAGCGUUCGUC
This 476-nucleotide ribosomal RNA is filed under the name uncultured bacterium. RNAcentral describes it as "partial 16S rRNA". The record is from RNAcentral.